GGCUUUGGGCAGAGGCAGCCAGGGCGCCGGAAGAGGCCUGGAAAUCCACGCGGCUUCCCAAAGACGGCGCCUCUGUUCUGCGGGUUCGUGACGAGGAUUUAUUUCCACCCACUGCGCCUGGGCGCAGGUCUGCGGGUCCGCGCCCACUGCGUGCGGCGCCACGGACCAUGUCGGUGACUGAUCAGGCUUUUGUCACACUGGCCACAGAUGACAUCUACUGCCAGGGCGCCCUGGUCCUGGGGCAGUCACUGAGGAGACACAGGCUGACGAGGAAGCUGGUGGUGUUGAUCACUCCUCAGGUGUCCAGCCUGCUCAGUCUCUCCAAAAGGUGCAAGAUAUCAUCCAGCCACUUGGACUGAGAGCUCAUCCCAAUCCAGUUCCUGAUCAGAUGGGGCCCUGCCACUCGUUCCAGCCAGGUGACCUGGUGUUCGUUAAAAAGUUCCAGAAAGAAGGACUCCUGCUUAGAAAAGACCUCAUACUGUCAUCCUUACCACCCCAAUGGCUCUAAAAGUAGAAAGGAAUGCUUACAUUCAUGACACCCCCUAGUACAAAGCAUGUUUAACUGUAAUCUAUGACUAACUACCCUAAUUACUGGAUUGGCAGAACCCUUUUUCUCCUUCUCUUGUUUAGUCUUCCAACCAUUAUAUAUUAAAAUUAGUUUCUUAAAUUUGUAAAA
This is a long non-coding RNA of Homo sapiens (human), 676 nucleotides long. NCBI's taxonomy places the organism in Eukaryota, Metazoa, Chordata, Mammalia, Primates, Hominidae. The record is from Ensembl.